Molecule: ribosomal RNA, 596 nt
Filed under: uncultured bacterium
Lineage: Bacteria
Description: bacterial SSU rRNA
Rfam family: Bacterial small subunit ribosomal RNA
Source: RNAcentral
AAUGCCUAGGAAUCUGCCUGGUAGUGGGGGAUAACGUUCGGAAACGGACGCUAAUACCGCAUACGUCCUACGGGAGAAAGCAGGGGACCUUCGGGCCUUGCGCUAUCAGAUGAGCCUAGGUCGGAUUAGCUAGUUGGUGAGGUAAUGGCUCACCAAGGCGACGAUCCGUAACUGGUCUGAAAGGAUGAUCAGUCACACUGGAACUGAGACACGGUCCAGACUCCUACGGGAGGCAGCAGUGGGGAAUAUUGGACAAUGGGCGAAAGCCUGAUCCAGCCAUGCCGCGUGUGUGAAGAAGGUCUUCGGAUUGUAAGGCACUUUAGGUUGGGAGGAAGGGUUGUAGAUUAAUACUCUGCAAUUUUGACGUUACCGACAGAAUAAGCACCGGCUAACUCUGUGCCAGCAGCCGCGGUAAUACAGAGGGUGCAAGCGUUAAUCGGAAUUACUGGGCGUAAAGCGCGCGUAGGUGGUUUGUUAAGUUGGAUGUGAAAUCCCCGGGCUCAACCUGGGAACUGCAUUCAAAACUGACUGACUAGAGUAUGGUAGAGGGUGGUGGAAUUUCCUGUGUAGCGGUGAAAUGCGUAGAUAUAGGAAGG